UCUUUGGAUGCGAGAAUGUGUUUGGGGACAAUUGGAGCAAAUUGACUCCCUUACGGUUAGUAUGAAGGUUUGAAAGUGAAAGAUUUUUGGUACGUUUCUAGAAAGUAAAUAAAUGAAUCCAAGUUUCAAGCACAUUGUCUUUACACUAGUGUGGCAGGCUGGCAGCCUACCAGAUAACCAUUUUGAUUGUUCAUAAAGUGUUACCUUCAUAUUUUGCAAAACCUCUUAUCCAAUUGCGAGUGCAAAGUAGAGUUGGAACAUUCCAUUUAACAAUCAUAAUGGUCAUCUGGUGGGCUCUAGAAUUCAUCAUUAUGCACACCAAAGUAAAGAUUGUGUGCUCGAAACUUGGAUUCAAUUACUUUUUCGUCAAAACAUACCAAAACUCUCUCACUUUUAAAAGUUCAAGUUAACGGAAGUAAGGGGAUCGAUCUGUUCCAAUUGUACUCAAACACACUCUCUCAUCC
MicroRNA precursor from Arabidopsis thaliana (thale cress), 464 nucleotides. It matches the Rfam family "MIR5638 microRNA precursor family". Lineage: Eukaryota; Viridiplantae; Streptophyta; Magnoliopsida; Brassicales; Brassicaceae. The record is from Rfam.